AUACUCUGGUUUCUCCUCACAUCACAUAAAUCUUUCACCUUUUACUAAAGAUUUCAGUGGAGAGGAACAACUCUUGAGUCUGAAACCAAUUUUUUGAGGCCUUGCCUUGGCAAAGGCU
Molecule: small nuclear RNA, 118 nt
Organism: Otolemur garnettii (small-eared galago)
Lineage: Eukaryota; Metazoa; Chordata; Mammalia; Primates; Galagidae
Gene: U5
Rfam family: U5 spliceosomal RNA
About the family: U5 RNA is a component of both types of known spliceosome. The precise function of this molecule is unknown, though it is known that the 5' loop is required for splice site selection and p220 binding, and that both the 3' stem-loop and the Sm site are important for Sm protein binding and cap methylation.
Source: Ensembl